AAAAGUUUUAUUCUUGCUUACUUAUUUACUUAAAUAUUGUUUUACAUGUAAAUUUUAGUAUGAAUUAAUUUUAGCCUUGAUGGUUAAUUUUUUAAAGGUUAUUCGCAGUAUUUGGUUUUAUUAAUCAAGGUGACUUGGAAUUAGUAAUUAUUGAAUAGUACCGGCAAAAAUCGUGCCAGCUGCCGCGGUUAUACGAAGGGUGUGAGUGAAUAUUAUUGGUUUGUGGUUAAAUUGGAUUAUGGGUAAUUAUAUGUAGAUUUUUUGGGUGGAAUCUUUAAAUUUAUAUUUAUUUCUUAAUUUGUUGUUGAAACUGCUAAAAUUAGAUUGUUAGACUAGGAUUAGAUACCCUAUUAUACUAAAAGUUAGAAGUAUGGAGGCUCGGGUAGUAUAAAGUAUUUUUUUGAAACCCAAAGAAUUUGGCGGUGUUUUAGGCCUUUUAGAGGAACUUGUCUCGUAAUCGAUAUUCCUCGUUGGAUUAUACUUAGGUUUGUAUUCAGUUUGUAUACCGCCGUCGUCAGAAUGUCUUUAGAGAGAUUUAAUUUUCUUUUUUUUAAAAUGAAGGGGAUGUCAGGUCAAGGUGCAGUUUAUAUCUAAGGGAUGAUGAGUUACAAUAAAUUUAUUUAUAUGGAUUGCUCUUUGAAAAUAGGUGUAUGAAGGUGGAUUUAAAUGUAAUUGAAUUGAAUUUAAUUAAAUUGGUUUUGGCUCUGGAACAUGUACACAUCGCCCGUCGCUCUCGUUAUUAAGGCGAGAUAAGUCGUAACAUAGUAGAUGUACUGGAAAGUGUAUCUAGAACGUU
RNAcentral lists this non-coding RNA (796 nucleotides) under unidentified. The record is from RNAcentral.